UACGAAGGGGGCUAGCGUUGCUCGGAAUUACUGGGCGUAAAGGGCGCGUAGGCGGACAGUUUAGUCAGAGGUGAAAGCCCAGGGCUCAACCUUGGAAUUGCCUUUGAUACUGGCUGUCUUGAGUUCGGGAGAGGUGAGUGGAAUGCCGAGUGUAGAGGUGAAAUUCGUAGAUAUUCGGCGGAACACCAGUGGCGAAGGCGACUCACUGGCCCGGUACUGACGCUGAGGCGCGAAAGCGUGGGGAGCAAACAGG
RNAcentral lists this ribosomal RNA (253 nucleotides) under uncultured bacterium. Its description in RNAcentral is "partial 16S ribosomal RNA". It matches the Rfam family "Bacterial small subunit ribosomal RNA", at positions 524 to 776 of the family's 1533-position model. The record is from RNAcentral.